AAUUAAUAUUAUAAUUAUUUUAGCAUUUCCUAGAAAUUAAGUAUUUUUUCAAUUUUUUCCUUAUAUAUUAAUAUAAAAGUGAAAACCAAGAAAAACACUUUAAUAAACUUUUGAGAAUUUGUACUUUAAUUUUUGUGUUUUUACGUAAUGAUUUCCAUUAUCUAAAAAUACAUAAGGAUUCGUAUGCCUCCAAUUAUAAGAUGAAAAAUUUUCUUUUGUGUUUUAUUCUUAAAAAUAUAUAUCUCUAUAAACUAAGAAAGCAUAGUGAUUAUGCUUUUGGUUACUUAUUUUUUUUCUAAUAGUACUAUUCCUUUUUUAUUACAUAUGAUAAUGUGAAGUCUACAUAAUUUACAUAAAUUUUAUUUUUUUAUAUAUGUUGAAGAAAAAGGGUAAAAUAAUAUGCCUAUAAAAUAAUUGUCUGGAAAGUAUUUAAAAAAUAUAGUGUAUUUUUAAUUUUUUUUUGUUCAUUAUACGAAUUAUUAUUCUCAUUAUUUAGGAACUUUAUUACUAAAAUAUGGCUUCUGUUUUAAUAGAAUUUCAAAUUAGUCCAUCUUGUUAUUAAUUUUAAUAUAUAUUAAAUAAAAUUAAUAGUAGAGUUUAAAUUAAAGAAAUUAAAUAAGAUAAAAUAUUAAAUAAAAUUUUAAAAUGUAUUAAAUUUUUCUUUA
This is a ribosomal RNA of Plasmodium relictum, 665 nucleotides long. The record is from RefSeq and is a predicted model, not a curated record. NCBI's taxonomy places the organism in Eukaryota, Apicomplexa, Aconoidasida, Haemosporida, Plasmodiidae.